RNAcentral lists this ribosomal RNA (502 nucleotides) under uncultured soil bacterium. RNAcentral's name for it is "bacterial SSU rRNA". It matches the Rfam family "Bacterial small subunit ribosomal RNA", at positions 26 to 525 of the family's 1533-position model. The record is from RNAcentral.
AGAUUGAACGCUGGCGGAAUGCUUUACACAUGCAAGUCGAACGGCAGCACGGGGGCAACCCUGGUGGCGAGUGGCGAACGGGUGAGUAAUACAUCGGAACGUGCCCAGUCGUGGGGGAUAACUACGCGAAAGCGUAGCUAAUACCGCAUACGAUCUACGGAUGAAAGCGGGGGAUCGCAAGACCUCGCGCGAUUGGAGCGGCCGAUGGCAGAUUAGGUAGUUGGUGGGGUAAAGGCUCACCAAGCCGACGAUCUGUAGCUGGUCUGAGAGGACGACCAGCCACACUGGGACUGAGACACGGCCCAGACUCCUACGGGAGGCAGCAGUGGGAAUUUUGGACAAUGGGCGAAAGCCUGAUCCAGCCAUUCCGCGUGCAGGAUGAAGGCCCUCGGGUUGUAAACUGCUUUUUGUACGGAACGAAAGCCUUUUACUAAUACAAGAAGGUCAUGACGUACGUAAGAAUAAGCACCGGCUAACUACGUGCCAGCAGCCGCGUAAUCUA